This 834-nucleotide long non-coding RNA is filed under the name Apis dorsata (giant honeybee). Its description in RNAcentral is "uncharacterized LOC116185708, transcript variant X2". Lineage: Eukaryota; Metazoa; Arthropoda; Insecta; Hymenoptera; Apidae. The record is from RNAcentral.
ACGAUCGGAAACGAAUCACGAAUUCGUUUUACAAAGACGGAACGCGCCACCGAGAUAACCAAUCGUCAUACUUUUACAAACGACCGUUCACAAGCAGAGGCCGCAAUAUACUGAACACAUGAUUCCAACGGGGGCUAGUGUCGCCGUAUAGCGUGAAGGUGGCGCCACCGAAGCGGCGCUUCGAUCGAGAUCGGCCACACACGGAAUCUUCGAAAAGGUCGAGAACAAUUUUCGCUCUUCUCGUGGAAAUUACCGUGAAAUCGGCGUGAAUGUGAGUGCACAAAUACACGAUACGUGUCCCGGAAUUUCGUAACCUUCGAACAGAAAUCAAUGGUACUUCAAGCGUCUGAUGUCAAGUAACUAUCAAGGCUGCCAUAUAUCUUGAUUGAAUGCAGAUUAACGCCAAGUCGAACGAACGGAUCUCGACCACAAAGGAUAGAUCGAUGUGCUUUAUACUGUAAUUUAGCGACAACCCUACCGACUACUGGUAAUACUAUUUGCAAACGAUUUACAAUUAGUGAUUGGUAAAGAUUAAUUCGUAGAAACGAUAUUCGAUAAGUAAAUCGUUCAAAAACUAUGUUAGUCAAUGAACGUUCUAUUUAAUCGAUUUUUCGUCAGAUAUUUCGUUUCAAAGAAAUCAAUUCCUUUUGAUCGAUUAUGAACGAUUAUUCAAUUGUUAAAAACGAAUAAAAAUUGUGAAUAUAUAAUAGAGAGAUAUUUGUGAAGUUUUUGAUAUAACAAUAUUGAAAAUAUUUUGAAAUUUGUCACAUUGAUCUGCAAAUUCUUAGAAUUGAUUAUUCAUUGUAUUGAUAUUAGAUGGAUAUAGAAAAUGGA